This 253-nucleotide ribosomal RNA is filed under the name uncultured bacterium. RNAcentral describes it as "partial 16S ribosomal RNA". It matches the Rfam family "Bacterial small subunit ribosomal RNA", at positions 524 to 776 of the family's 1533-position model. The record is from RNAcentral.
UACGUAGGUGGCAAGCGUUGUCCGGAUUUACUGGGCGUAAAGAGCGCGCAGGCGGUCGUUCAAGUCGCGUGUGAAAGCCCCCGGCUCAACUGGGGAGGGUCGUGCGAUACGGGCGAACUGGAGGCCAGUAGGGGGAUGCGGAAUUCCGGGUGUAGUGGUGGAAUGCGUAGAGAUCCGGAGGAACACCAGCGGCGAAGGCGGCAUCCUGGACUGGUCCUGACACUCAGGAGCGAAAGCGUGGGGAGCGAUCCGG